RNAcentral lists this long non-coding RNA (2103 nucleotides) under Homo sapiens (human). Its description in RNAcentral is "HSALNT0017858". The record is from RNAcentral. Lineage: Eukaryota; Metazoa; Chordata; Mammalia; Primates; Hominidae.
AGAGACUUGCACAGGAAGAAACUGAGAAAGGAGGGCCCCAGCUGCACAGUCUACAAAGGCAAGUGCACCCUGGAGUAGUGAUGCAGGCAGACAGGAUGAUGGGGACGAUUCAGAAACCAUCAGGGCUCUCUGGAAGCCAUAAGUGCAGUGAGCUAGGACUCAUGACUAGGGUUGUCCCAACCCUGAUGCUAACUCCGACUCUCACUAGUUAUGUAAUUUGGACCCAUGGCUUAAUCUCUCUGUAAGACUUACCUGCUAAAUAAAGCUAAUGAGAGUAGCUACCUCAUAGGGAGCAUUAAAUGAUCGUGUGUACAAAGCAUUUAGCACAGGACGUGGCUUAUAUUAAGUGCCCAAUAAAUGUUACUUAUUAUUAUUAAGGGUUGAAGGAAAACCGUGAGAGAGCUGUGUCCUAGGAACCAAAGGAAAAGAAAUUUCCAAGAAGAAAGUGAUGGUCCAUAGAGUCAAAUGAUGCAGGCAAAUCGAAUGAGAUAGGGAUUGAAAAUAAUUAGCAUUUUCUAUUCCCCAUGGUGUGAUGUGUUCCCUAAUUUCACCACAUACUGCACUAUCUACAGGAUUACCAAUACUCCAUGGAUUAAGGUCUGCAGAUUUGCAGAUUAGGCAAGGCUGCCUAAUUAUCUGUCCCGCCUCUGCCCACAACGAAGUCGCCCCAGCUUGUCAGUGCCACCUGGUGGCCAGAUCAGGAGAAAGCCACAUCUGGAGGAACAAAGAUUCAGGGGCCACCAUUUGGGAAAUGCUGCCAUGGAGGGCUAGUACGCACUCCACACAUCCUUUGCUCCUGACUUCCAUGGAGGGCUGGUGCGCACUCCACGCAUCCUCUGCUCCCGUCUUCCAUGAAGGGCUAGUGCGCACUCCGGCGUCCUCUGCGCCUGUCUUCCAUGGAGGGCUAGUGCGCACUGCGGCGUCCUCUGCUCCCGACUUCCAAGGAGGGCUAGUGCGCACUCCACGCGUCCUCUGCUCCCAUCUUCUAUGGAGGGCUAGUGCACACUCCUGGCAUUCUCUCCUCCCAUCUACCAUGGAGGGCUAGUACACACUCCAGGCAUUCUCUGCUCCUGUCUACCACGGAGGACUGGUGCGCACUCCACCGUCCUCUGCUCCCGUCUUCCAUGGAGGGCUAGUGCGCACUUCGACGUCCUCUGCUCCUGUCUUCUAUGGAGGGCUAGUGCGCCCUCCAGGCAUUCUCUGCUCCUGACUUCCAUGGACUGCUAGUGCGCACUCCGAUGUCCUCUGCUCCCGUCUUCCACGGAGGGCUAGUGCGCACUCCGGCGUCCUCUGCUCCUGUCUUCUAUGGAAGGAUAGUGCGCAUUCCAGGCAUUCUCUGCUCCUGACUUCCAUGGAGGACUAGUGCACGCUCCACGCGUCCCCUGCUCCCGUCUUCCAUAGAGAGCUAGUGCGCACUCCACGCUUCCUCUGCUCCUGACUUCCACUACAGACUCAGUCAAUGUCAUCUCCAGAGGAAACUGUUUCUGCAGUGUAUACAGAUUCUCACUAACCUUUAUGAACCUUUCUCUUUUACUCUUCCCUUUCUCUUUUACUCUUCCCUUUCUCUUUCUUCCAUUUGCAACCCAUAAUAAUCCUGUUGGUGGCUAUUCAUAGCAAAUAUGUUUUAGAGCUGCUAAAGAGACAUCUCUAUCAAAAGAAAAAAAAGAAAAAAAGAAAAAGUUUUAAAUGAAAAUAUGAAGACUGAAGAUCCAAGCCCACUAUUUUACCAUUCCAGAGUGCCUUCGUACAUAAAAACCACUUUCAUUAUUUCACUUGAUUCUCACUUUAUAAAUGAAGAAAAUGAGGCCCAGAGAAGGUAAGCCAGUUUACCCAAAACUGGAAUAGAAACCCAAGUCUUCAGACUCCUACCCCAGUGUUCCUUCUGCACACCAGGCAUCGAGAUCCAGGCCAAUCUGAUCUUGGCUCCUCAAAGACUGUUGAACUUGUAGACGCCCCUCCCUUGAGUUGGAAACUUACAGAACACAAUCAAGGGUCUUCCCAUAAGCCUUUAAAGUGCCCAAAUGCCUCCUUUAUAUGUCCCACAGCAAGCCUCAUCUGCCUCCUUCUCCUUCUCUAAUUCAACCUAAUUUUCUUCACUUACCA